AUGCGCACGGCCUCUCUAGGUGCACAGUCGUUUCCGUCGGUCUUGGGUCUGGCCGUGCCUGAACCUGCAAAGUCCGCGCCGGCUCCCAGGAAGGGCGCCAAGAAAGCCGUCACCAAAGCCCAGAAGAAAGACGGCAAGAGGCGCAAGCGCAGCCGCAAGGAGAGCUACUCCAUCUGCAUGUACAAGGUGCUGAAGCAGGUCCACCCCGACACCGGCAUCUCGUCCGAGGCCAUGGGCAUCAUGAACUCCUUCGCCAACGACAUCUUCGAGCGCAUCGCGGGAGAGGCGUCCCGCCUGGCGCACUACAACAAGCGCUCCACCAUCACGUCCCGCGAGAGCCAGACGGCCCUGCGCCUGCUGCUGCCCGGCGAGCUGGCCCAAGCACGCCUUGUCCCAGGGCACUUGCAAGGCUGUCACCAAGUACACCGGCUCCAAGCGAGUCCCGGCUGCUUGACUCCAAAGUC
Mandrillus leucophaeus (drill) is the source of this 464-nucleotide RNA transcript. It is a transcript of the gene named histone H2B type 2-E-like, with no coding region annotated. The record is from RefSeq and is a predicted model, not a curated record. Lineage: Eukaryota; Metazoa; Chordata; Mammalia; Primates; Cercopithecidae. The transcript has 2 exons.